This 351-nucleotide long non-coding RNA is filed under the name Trifolium pratense (red clover). Its description in RNAcentral is "long non-coding RNA (TPRA_LNC001976)". Lineage: Eukaryota; Viridiplantae; Streptophyta; Magnoliopsida; Fabales; Fabaceae. The record is from RNAcentral.
AUAUAUAUUAUUAGUGUUGUUUUAAUUUUUCUUUCUCUGAUGAUUUUUUUUUUUCAUUUAUAAUUUGAUAUGGAAGAUGUGCAGAUUAGUGCAAGGAGAAUACGGAUAUGGUGGCACUACAUAUAUGUUUGUUAUUGGAGGGGAUAUUAAAAAAUAACAUAUUUUGUNNNNNNNNNNNNNNNUGUGCUACAAUAUCAAAAUAGAGUGAUAUUAUUUACUGAGAUUGGUUGUUUUGAUUAUCUCUUUUGGUACUUUUUUGCUCAAUUUCUUCAUCCAAAUUUAAUUUUCUUCAACAUUUUAAUGAGUGGAAAAGUUCAAUACAGUUUAAUUAAGUUAUCAUGUUAAUUUUCA